RNA transcript from Anolis carolinensis (green anole), 8964 nucleotides. It is a transcript of the gene named zinc finger C2HC-type containing 1B, with no coding region annotated. The transcript has 8 exons. The record is from RefSeq and is a predicted model, not a curated record. NCBI's taxonomy places the organism in Eukaryota, Metazoa, Chordata, Lepidosauria, Squamata, Anolidae.
UUAUAUGGUAUUUAAUAAUUAGAGGCUCAUGUUCGUUAUGAUUUGACAGAUUUCGUAUGAGUUCAUUAAAAAGUAUGAGAUGAAGUGUGCCAUAUACUGUUUUCAGUAGCAGCAAGCCAAAUUAGUGUAAUUUUUAAAAAAUAUUUUAGUAUCCACUAAAAAGGAUUGAAGGUGGCUUAAUAUAGCUAUUACUAAGACAAUCAAAUAGAACUAUUUAAAACAGCCCAGUAAAAAGUUUUAAGAAGGAUCAUGGCUUACCAGUCGCAUCUUCUUUUGCCUCACAUUUUCUUAUAUUAAUAGCUAUCUAUGUUGCGGUUCCUAUUAUAUUUAUUCCUGUAACUUCUUCAAACUUCUGUUAUUCUUUGGCCUCUAUAACCAAGACAAAUAGAAGUGUUUAUGUUGCAUUACCAAAUGUUAAAGAGACUCAUUAGUCCUUGUAUAAAAGGCAAGCAGACUUUCAUGUGCAUCAUUAAAUGAUGCAGGGGGCUAUGUGUGUCACAAUUGUUUAAUCUGCCAGCCAAUGACAUUUAACCAAGGAUAUUGGAGCAGGACAACUGGAGGUAAACCCCCUUGGGCUUUAAUCUCCGUGAAAUUAAAAAAGGGAAUUGGAAAUCAGUAUACUAUGAGAUCAGUUUGGUUGCUGGAACAAAGCAAGUGCCAUGGAUGCUGGAAGCCAGAAUAUGAUUAACUGUGAAACCUGUGGAAGACAUUUCACACAAGAUGCAUUGGCAAGACAUGCACCAAUAUGCAAAAAAGUCUUCAACAAAAAACGCAAACCAUUCAAUUCCUUGAAACAACGACUUCAGGGAACUGAGAUUCCAACAGUAAAGAAACAACCUAUAAAGCGCCAGCCAGAAAAAAAAUCUAAUUGGAGACAACAGCAUGAGGACUUCAUUACAACUAUCCGAGCAGCUAAACUUGCCACUAUAGCUAUGAAAGAAGGCCGUCCCCUGCCUCCUCCUCCACCGCCUACCAUUAAUCCAGAUUAUAUCCAAUGCCCUUACUGCAUGAGAAGAUUUAAUGAGGCUGCAGCAGAAAGACAUAUAAAUUUCUGCAAAGAACAAGCUGCAAGGCGUGCCUUUGCUCCAGCUCAGAAAGGAACCAAGAUGCCCUCAGACAUGCUGCUGGAACUUCCGAGAGAGCAGCACCAAAGAAAGCACCUGCUGGCCCUUCUGGAAAAUAGUCCAGAGCUCUAUCACAGAACAGAAGAUAAUGAUAGAAUGCCUCACCAAGCAUUUGAAAAGCAGUAUUUACUUUUUACGGUAUUGCUAUCAGAGACCAGCAAGCAUUCAUCUCACAAGAUGGAUUGAAAUAAAACAAGUAAGAUCAUAUUCCAGUUAAUUGAUUUUUUCCCUAAGUACUAAUCUUGAACAAAUUAUUUAUCUAUUUAUUACAUCACUUCUACCCCGCCCUUCUCACCCAUCAGGGGACUCAGGGCGGCUUUAGAAUACCACAAUGAAACUAUAGUUUUCUAUUUGUUGUUAUUAAAUGUUUUCCCUAAAGUUUUGUCUAUUUCUUACUUGGUAAAUUGGUAGCUGUGUAUAAAUCCUUCAGUUAUGCCACUAUCUAUAAUAAAAAGAAUUCAGUAAGAAUCCAGAACUAGUAAUACUUGCAUUAAGAGAGAACCCUCUGUUCCAGCUCCUAGUCCAUUUAAUGUAAACUGAGCACCAAUUAUUAAAAGCCAUUAUUAAUUUUCCCCAUGCAUCUACAAAUGUGCAACUAAUUUUCCAACAGCAUUCAACACUGCUUUAUGUUUGCCAUAUGAAUUAAGUAUCCAUACAAACAGGCCAGAAAACACCUCACAUGGUAUUUAUUAAGUUGUUAAAAUGCAACUAAUUCUAUAGUGGCAUUUAACACUCAAAGUAUUUCUUGGUUGAUGUUCACUAUAUGAAUUAGCCAUCCAGAGAAAUGGGCUAGAAAAUGUCACUCUGUGAGGUGUUCACUGUUGAAAUGCAACUAAUAUGGCAAUUGCAUUUAAUGUGAUGUCAAAUGCUUUCAUGGCUGAAAUCACUGGGUUGCUGUGAGUUUUCCAGGCUGUAUGGCCAUGUUCCAGAAUCACCUUGAUUAGCAUUGAAAAGACUUAGAGCUUCAAGUCCUAGCUGAUUCCUGCCUGGGAAAUCCUUUGUUGGGAGAUGUUCAGCAGAAAGGAGGAAACCAUGAAAAUGAACAAAAUCUGGCCACCUGUAUUAAAACUCUAAAAUCAGGUCAGUAAAUAAAGAACAACACUCAGAAGACAGGGGAAUUCCAGACAUGAAACAAUCAGCACCAGCUAACACCUCCCAACAAAAGAUUCCCCCAGGCAGUAAUCAGCCAGGCCUUGAAGCUGCAAGGCUUUUCAAUGCUAAUCAAGGUGAUUAAUUGCAACAUUCACACUUGCCUCCAAUAGAAAAGAGUUCUUUCUCCCUUGCUUAGUUUCAAUAUACCUCACAAACUCUGAGGAUGCCUGUCAUAGAUGUGGGCAAAACCUCAGGAGAGAAUGCUUCUGAAACAUGGCCAUACAGCCCGGAAAACCCAACUGCAUUUAACGGUAUAAAUGUAUUUCUUUGUUCAUGUGUACUAUAUGAAUUAAUGCAGACAAAUGGGUUAGAAAACACCUGGCAAGGUAUUUAUUAAAUUGCUACAACAGCUGACUUUAUAGAACUGCGUUUCAGUUCAUGUUCGUUAACCAUCCAGACAAAAAGGCAAGAAAACACCUUCCAUAGAAUUAUUUCUGGCGUCAUGUCUGCUAUAUGAAUUAUGUUUGGGUGGCAUGUGUCAAGAUGCAACCCAUUUUUAAUCUGUUCGAAUCAAGCAUCCAAACAAACGAGUGAGAAAGCAUAUCGCGUAGCAUUUAGUAGCGGCUAAAACGCUCCGGAGUCAGAGGAAUAGGAAAGGUGUUCUGGCAAGUCCGGAAAGCAAGCCACGUUUGUGUCGGAAAGCAGAAGAAGGGAAACGGCCGGCCUUGGGUUUCUCCCGGUGCCUGGGAGGCGGAUUUUCAGAGUCCAGGUGGCUCUUGAGUGGUGCCUGCUGUGAAGAGUGCAGUCGAGGCAGGAAGAUCGGGGGCAAGGUGAGGCCUCUCUUCAGCUUCGCAAAGGGCGCCGCUUCCCUCCAUCCCGCUCUCUCUGCGAGCUCAGGACUCGUCGGGCUUGUCUGCGGGGGGCCCGCAGGGCUGCAGCAUCUUCUCCAUGAGGUUGAAGCGGACGCGGGCCUUGCUCUCGUCCUCGGCGAUGGCGAAGUAGUUGAGCAGGUCGAAGUGGCCCAUGUAGGAGCAGUACGAGUCCCGGUGCUGGUUCACCAGCCACUCCCACUUGGUCGUGUCCGCGUGGCCCGUCCCGAUGUACUUGGACUGCAGGUGCUCCAGCUGGCUAUGGAUGGUGUAGCGGUCCGUCAUGGCGGCGGCAACGGCAACAACAGCUUCACGAAUCUGGCAAACACUCCGCGGCCUUAAGCUACCCGCCAAGCGUCUCUCAGGAGAAAAAAAGGAGCCCGGAGGAAACGGACAGACCUUGCGCGCGAGAGAGCACUUCCGCUUCCGGAUUAAGACACACUCACACACUCUCUCCCGUCUUCCAUUUUGCUCGUUUCCGCUUCGUUGGAAGGCGGGACUUCUAACCCUCGCAGCCAAUAGUAUUUCUUGUCCUCUGCUUUCCUUCAACAAAUGAGAAAAGAGAUUUCGUUUCACGUUUCUCGGGGGACGGAAGGGCGGGAACUCGGAAGGGAGGCCGAAAUGGGCGUAUUUAAACGUCUCCCGUUGGGAAGGCGUUGUUGGACAUCAAUCUCUGUAGUCAGGAGUGACUGAAUUAUCUACCAGAUACAGAAAUGACUGGCUUCCAGGAGAAGCAGGUAAUUAUUCUAAGUGCAGCCACCUCCCUGGAUGGACAUUUUGAACACAAAGGAGUUUCUGAAAUGUUUGUUCCUCAUCACAGUUUCCUUGAGGUGCUUGUGUAUAACCGGUACCUGGUUUAAUUUACUUAAACUGCAUUUUAUGGGGGUAUUUUGGGAGAUGUGUUGUCAGUAUUAUUUAUUUUUAGUUACUGACUUCAUUUUGUUUUCCUUGUGAAAAAAUUCUGGAUGAUGUGUCACAUAUAUAACCUACUGUUUUAGAAACAGAGGACAAAGACUGUCAAUUAAAAUUGGUUAACGGCAUGCAUCAACAAGUUAGUACAGGAUCCUAAAAACACAAUAGAAAUGCAGUGACAAUACCAAACAGAGCUAAACCAGGAAUUUACAAAAAGCACAGUCAAUGAAUUCAGGAACUAUACAGAACAAAGAAGCAAUUGGUUAAAUAAUCUAGAACAUAUUACAAUGUUAGCCUUCAGAAAGUUUUUUUGUUUCUCCUUCCCCCACAUCUAAGGGAACCUAAGCCCAGCAACACUGUCCCUGGAAUUCCCCAUCACAUGUGUAAGUGGGAAGCAUGCAAUACGGUACAGUAUUACUCUUCUAACUCAUUUCUGCUUUUAUUUUUUCUGAUGUCUUGACUUCCAGUAAACAAAGCAAUUUAUUUUCUCUUUAGAGUGGAGCUGGAGAAAGUACAUUGAAAAGAUAAUAAAAUGUUGUGGUAACUCAUCUUCCUUAAGAAAUGAAAUCUGAAGUUGAGAUAACAAUAUGUGAGCAGGAAGAAGACAAUAAACUGAUAAAUAACUGAUGGACCCAUAGGUGUAAGUUGGUGUGUUCUAGGAAAUGUUAUUCACUCUUAUGUUGGGAGUGUAAAAUUAUUUAGAGAAAUUGACCGUGACAGCUUUUUUUUUUUUUAACCCUAUAGAAGUAGCCUAAAAUUUCUGCAUACCUGGCUUUAAACAGAUUGUGACGGAACCAUCACCAUCCAUCAGUUUUUAUAACCCCCUGAGAAGGAUACAACAUAGAAAAGGUUACAAAUAAGAACACAAAAAACAGUAAUUAAAAUAUUAAACUUUCAACAAAAGUGAAUCUAUGUAAAACAGUAAUGUAAAAGAAAUAUUAAAAACCGUACAGUGCAAAGUCUUUUUCUUGCAAAACCAUCCUCUCUCAAAAGCCUGCUGGUGUUUAAAAUGUUUCUUUCACCUAUGAAAAAAACAGGAGAGAGCAAGUGAGGUAGUCUCCCUAGAAAGGGAGGUCCAGAGACUCAGAGUAGCCACGGAGAAUCCUGCUCCAUAAUCAACCCUGUCUUUGAAGAUGGUAGGAUCUAGAGAAGAGCUUGCUGAGAAGAUCUCAAAACAUGGGCAAUCUCAUAUGUCAAAAUAUAUGAUCUUUCAGAUAGCAUGCACCCAAAUCAUAGCCAGCACUUUAAAUUAUAUACUUCUACAAAAAACAAAAAAACAAAACAAAAAAAAACAGUGGAGAGUUGGUAGGCAUCAUCUAAAGGGCAACAUACACCACACUCCUGAACUCAUGAGAAGAUAAAGAUGGCCUUGCUGGAUAUUUAGUAUGACAUAACAUGAACAUCUCCCCUGCUCUGUUCAUCAUCACUACUUCAUCACACAACCGUUAGGUCCGUUUCACAACAAAACUUACAGAAUUGCAUACUUGCCACAUGACUUUUUGCAGAUUCCCUUGAAGAAUUUGCAAGAAAUCAUGAUCAUUAGAAGAAAAGGUUGGGCUUUCAUGGUUUCAUAAUCUUCUUAUGGUUUUGUGAUGUAUAAUCAGAAGGACAAGAAAAUCUCACAUUUGGGCUUUGUUUUUGGAAAUUAUUUUAAUGGUUUCAUAAUCUUCAUAUGGUUUCAGAAGAACUUUAGAAAUGUCUGGACAAGAAAAUCUCACAUUGCUUCAAGACUCACCAGUGCAUGAACUAUAAACAUAAUAAUGCCUACAUGCAAUCAGCUAGCAAUGUGCUCUAAUGUCUUGAGAUGAGCUCUCAGUCAGCUAAUCACUAUUUUACAGUGACCAGUGAUACAGAAACCCAUGACAAAGGCAUUUCUACUGAACAAUUAACACUUACCAUCAUUUAAAGAGACAAGCAAACAUCCACCUGUCAGUCUCCUGUAUACAGUACUUUCACUACAAUGAUAUAAAACUGAUGUGGAUGCAUGUGCUUGGUAACGUUCCACACACAAACACAUCUACCAGUUCCUAGGGAAGUAGGGUUCCCUCAUUAUUUAUUUCAGGUUCAGAUCUGUUUCAGAAGAUGGAACCAAAUUGUGGAUCACCAUCAAAAUGUGCCUCUUGGAGCAAGAAAUGCAGGUUCUCUACCUGAAAAAAGAUCAAUUUGUAAUUUUUGUUGAGUCAGACUGAUUCAAAUUCCCUUUAAUUGGUUUCAGUAGGAGGAAAAGUGUAAGAAAAGAAAGGGAAAAAAUAGAGUUUACUGGGAGAGUGAUUAAAAUGGCUUAAUCUUACUUCUGCCUAGCUGGGCUCAUGCUGGCAAAGGUUUGGUUUUAUGUGAGAUUACAACAUCAACAAUGGGAGAUAAGAUGACUCGGGCUGGAUCUAACUGUCAUAUAAUUCUAUUUCAGAAUAUAGAUUAACUACUUUGAACUGGAUUAUAAGAGUCUAUACUGCCAUAUAAUAACCCAGUUCAAUGCAGUUUAUCUGCAUUCAGAACUGCAUUAUAUGGCAGUGUAGAUGGGGCCUUGGUUAAGAUUUCCUUUCUCCUAUAACCCUCCUGAAUGAACUGUACUACUCUAUACCAUAUAGACCCUCUUUCAGCAUCCAUAUAAUGGAAUUAACCUAAUUUUAUCCUGCCCUGUAGUAAAGAGUUAACUUGUUUAUUGCAGUACUAAAAUUAUUUUUUCACUGGACUGUGCCUGGUUAGGAUUCUCUAGUAGACCAUGUCCAGCACUAGAAACCUUGCUCAAACUCUUAAGAGAGCAGAGCUCUCGAUGUCAUUCUAACAAGCAUCAAAAUGCACUAGUACUGCCAAGCAUUAAAGUCCACUCGUGUGAAGUCUUGGCUCUGCCUUUUCCUCUCCUUUACUUUAGAUCCCCUGUUUAUAGGUUUUCCCAAUAGUGUAGAUACCUCCUUUUUUAUUAGUUUUUGGGCGGAGCAUAAAAAACCCCUAGAGGCCAGCCUUAGUUGGUCUAUUUCAUUUGUCUGUACAGAGCAAUCUUGCUAGACUUCUCCUUUCUGCAGCAGAGCUACAGUGACUAGAGGCUUGGGCAUUGUCUGGUAAUCCUAGGCCCAAGCAAUCCAAAACAGGCAUCCUUAGCACCUGCAUUCAGCAGUAUUCAUAUACCACCAUUCCCAGAGACAACAGAAGCUUUUGACCAGCUUAAGUUUCACAAGAAAGAAGGUUGAGACAAUUUAUGAGCACCAGCUUGUAAACCAUCACUUUGCAUCAGAGGCAAAAUCUCCUUUCGUAAUGUAUUGUUCUAAGUUAUCUUAUAAUAUUCCUGGGUGGAGUUAACCCUUUAUUCAUCUUGUUCUCAGUAAAACUCACUUUGGUUAUCUUUUUACCUUGCCUAAAGUGCCUCUGUAUGUUAAGGGUCUUGAUCUUAACAGAAGGUAUACAGAUAGCCUCUGAGUAAAGCCAGACACAAUAGUUUUUACCAAAGGCUCGGGCAUGCCAUCACAACUUGUACCUCCAAGAUUCACUUGGCUCCCACCCUAAAAUUUAAUCACAUUUCUAGAUAUGCCCUGCCAUCAGGCAGUUUGACUACUUUUCUGUUUCCGUCCCAGUUCCUGGUCUUUAAUAACUUCAUAAUCUCUGUUCUGACUUAAUUGCCCCUCUCUUUUUAGCUGCUGCUUCUGACAGAGCGGUGACUACAAUUGCCUUCAGAGAAAAAGCCAAGCUGCCUUAAUUAGAAACAUGGGCUUCUCAACAUCUUUGUUGCAAACCUGGAACUGGUUGCCAAGCUGUGUUUUCCCCUAACAGGACAUUCUAGGGGAAGUAUAUCUCAAGUUCAGUGGAAGGACCAAAAGCCUGCUACUUACAAGAGGGAAAACCCAGCAAAACGUAGUGUGAAAGUUCAGUUUAUGAUCUGCAAAGAGCUAUGUGCCUUGUUCUUUCAGAGUUUGCAUAAUCAAAAAAAUUUCCAAGUGCAGUUUAUGCCACACAGUGAGAGAGAUCAGUCAGCUCAACAGCAAGGCUAAGAAACAAAUCAACAACAGCACCACCCACCCAGAACAGUAAAGUGGGUAAUUCUGACAAUGGGGAUAUAACCAACAAUAUUUUAAAGGUGAAAAGGAAAAGUAAUGCUAAAACUGCCAUUACUGAAGAGAUGAAAAGUGCUGUGUAGUAAUUAAAAACUGACAGCUUCAUCUCAGUCAAGGGUGGGAAAUGCAAAAAUGUGUUUACUCACAACUAAGUUUACAUACCUUAUUGCCAAAUAAAUGUAGGUAGAAUUUGAGACUUUGAAAAUGAAGCCUGCAUACACUCCAACAUUUCACAGAUGAAAUCUGGGAUACUUCAGGGUGAAAUCAAGAUUAUUAACGAGAAAGAACAAACAAACUAGCAAAGGUUGCGGCAGUUUUCUUUUGCAUGAGUCUACUAGGAAAGGCAAGAUUCCACUCUCCUCCUCUUUGUCCAGCUGAGUAAUUUUGAUGAAAUAUUUUAAUUUUUGAUCCUAACUUUAACGAUGGUUUCCUUCCUAUUGUACAAAGUUCUGGGUUUGUUUUUGUUUUUUUUAAAAAUGAAAUCAAUGUGGUAUGUUAUUAAAUGAAUAGUUUAAUGAUUGCUUGUUAGACAGGGAUUCCAGAUUAAAGUUGAGAUCAGGCCUCCAUCGCAGUGUGAAAAUUGCAGGCAGACGCGGAGAAACAAGAGUGCACAGGAAUGUGUUUAUGUCUUGCAAGGAGGGUAAUUUGGGAAAGAUUCCAGUCAAAGCAACCUCGCUUUUGGAGAAUCAACUCUUGUCUUGUUCAAGCCUUGUCUUAUGCCUAGAAUCUGUGUUUGGGUUACUUUUGAAGCUCAUAUAUUCAUGUUACCUUGGAUUUACUGUGCUAUAUUUGGGAUUUUGGACUAAUAUCUACAAAAUCAUUUAACUGUGCUUAAGGAUUGCACUUGCAAUUGGUUUUUACGUAUUUUUCUGCUUUCUAAUAAGUUUUGCUAUCUUUCUUCAAUAAACUGAAAAGACUCAA